GUGUUGUGCCUCCUUGAGCUUGCGACGCCCUGUGUGCAACCUUCCACGAGCUGCCGCUGCAUGCUGCUGUGCGUCCGUGAGCUGCUGCGAGGUCUCACUGUGUGGAACCUUCCCCGAGCUGCUGCUUCUUCCUGCUGACCCUCGCCGAGCUUGCUGCUGCCGCAAUGGGCUCUGCCUUCCCCGAGCUGCUGCACAGAAAAUCUGGAGAUGAUUUCUUCGGAGUUUGUUGAUUAACUAUGUUUUAGGGGCAAAUCUGGGAGUUGGUUCAGACUCAUACCAAGGCAAAAGGUGGACGUAUUGACAUGUUGCACUAGAGGAACAACGACCUUGGGGGAGCAGGUGACGGUCGAAGGAAUGGCAUAUAGUGGCACAUACCAGGUUGCAGCCACCACUGCCGUUGUCGCUGCCGUCGUCGUCGUCGUCGCCGCCGUCGUGGAGAUCGAGGUCGCCUUCGCCGCUGCCACCCAAAUCGUAUCAGACGAGCGUGAUAUCUGGGACAGAACGAUCGGGGUUGGCUGCCUCUCACGUAGAUCAACACGAGGGCUUGUUGGUCAUUUUGCUGUGGCCCGUCUCGUCGGGGGCAAAUCCUCAAGAUUACAGCAAAUGCGUGGCAAAUCCUCAGUUACAGGGUAAACAGGGGCAAAUCCUCAAAGUGUAAUUAAAGGCGUGGCAAAUCCUCAAAUUCCCCAUUAUUUCAGUUUCCUAACAUACAGAAAAGCCCCGAUCUGUUAUCUUCAGGUUGUAGUUGAGACUUCAUUUAUGCCGAGUAUGCUGUAGCAGCUGAACAUCGUCAUCGCUCAAAUGUGUAGGAGUGCCUGCUUUCCAUGAUGUACCGAUGUCAUUGAUGUGCCUUUUGUGAUGAGAAAGGAACUAGGUAUUGCAGAUGAUGUUACGGUGGUCAUUUUCUACAUUUGAGGACAGAUUGCCAAGAUAAAUAGAGGAUGCAUGGAUAAGUUGUUUUUGGCAAGGCGGAGAAUGGGACUACUACCAACAUAGUUUUACGUUAAGUUUUUAGAAAGCCGUUUUCAUGGUCAGUGUAUAGAAAAUGAUGUGACGUCAUUUUCAGGGUCAAUGUAAAGAAAAUCAUGUGUUUACUCUUUCGAUUUUGUUCCAUGUAAUGCAACCAAUCAGAUUCAAUAUAUGAGCUCUCCCUAUUUACUGAUUUUUUACUCUUGUGCACCAUCAAUAUUAACCGAAUAAUUGUUGUUGUUAAUAUAUAUAAAAUAUUGGCAAUUGUGCAUGCUAUGCAUCAACGCUUGCACUAAUAUGUUUAUGGCAAUUCCAAAUAGUUCUGGGUAGCUGUGACUCCCGGGUAAUCAAGCUACA
Molecule: long non-coding RNA, 1326 nt
Organism: Aegilops tauschii subsp. strangulata
Lineage: Eukaryota; Viridiplantae; Streptophyta; Magnoliopsida; Poales; Poaceae
Source: RefSeq, a predicted model, not a curated record